RNAcentral lists this unclassified non-coding RNA (313 nucleotides) under uncultured fungus. Its description in RNAcentral is "sequence contains 18S rRNA gene, ITS1, 5.8S rRNA gene". The stretch from base 1 to 127 matches the Rfam family "Eukaryotic small subunit ribosomal RNA", at positions 1707 to 1831 of the family's 1831-position model. The record is from RNAcentral. Lineage: Eukaryota; Fungi.
CGUCCGGACUGGCCCAGAGAGGCGGGCAACUGCUCCUCAGGGCCGGAAAGCUCUCCAAACUCGGUCAUUUAGAGGAAGUAAAAGUCGUAACAAGGUCUCCGUUGGUGAACCAGCGGAGGGAUCAUUACCGAGUUUACAACUCCCAAACCCCUGUGAACAUACCUACGUUGCUUCGGCGGACCACCCCAACCCCCUCGGGGCGAGGGGCCGCCAGAGGACCCAAAACCCAANUGUUUUUUCCGUAACGAAACCUAUUCUGAGUGGAAUUAUUAAAUAAAUCAAAACUUUCAACAACGGAUCUCUUGGCUCUGGC